RNAcentral lists this transfer RNA (67 nucleotides) under Marmota monax (woodchuck). RNAcentral's name for it is "tRNA.Ala". It matches the Rfam family "tRNA". From Rfam's summary of the family: Transfer RNA (tRNA) molecules are approximately 80 nucleotides in length. The record is from RNAcentral. Lineage: Eukaryota; Metazoa; Chordata; Mammalia; Rodentia; Sciuridae.
GGUUGUAGUUCAGUGGUAGAGCACUUGUCUGGCACAUGUGAGAUACUGGGUUCAAUCCUCAGCACCA